GAACGCUGGCGGCGUGCCUAAUACAUGCAAGUCGAGCGGACCGACGGGAGCUUGCUCCCUUAGGUCAGCGGCGGACGGGUGAGUAACACGUGGGUAACCUGCCUGUAAGACUGGGAUAACUCCGGGAAACCGGGGCUAAUACCGGAUGCUUGAUUGAACCGCAUGGUUCAAUCAUAAAAGGUGGCUUUCAGCUACCACUUACAGAUGGACCCGCGGCGCAUUAGCUAGUUGGUGAGGUAACGGCUCACCAAGGCGACGAUGCGUAGCCGACCUGAGAGGGUGAUCGGCCACACUGGGACUGAGACACGGCCCAGACUCCUACGGGAGGCAGCAGUAGGGAAUCUUCCGCAAUGGACGAAAGUCUGACGGAGCAACGCCGCGUGAGUGAUGAAGGUUUUCGGAUCGUAAAACUCUGUUGUUAGGGAAGAACAAGUACCGUUCGAAUAGGGCGGCACCUUGACGGUACCUAACCAGAAAGCCACGGCUAACUACGUGCCAGCAGCCGCGGUAAUACGUAGGUGGCAAGCGUUGUCCGGAAUUAUUGGGCGUAAAGCGCGCGCAGGCGGUUUCUUAAGUCUGAUGUGAAAGCCCCCGGCUCAACCGGGGAGGGUCAUUGGAAACUGGGGAACUUGAGUGCAGAAGAGGAGAGUGGAAUUCCACGUGUAGCGGUGAAAUGCGUAGAGAUGUGGAGGAACACCAGUGGCGAAGGCGACUCUCUG
RNAcentral lists this ribosomal RNA (719 nucleotides) under uncultured Bacilli bacterium. RNAcentral describes it as "bacterial SSU rRNA". It matches the Rfam family "Bacterial small subunit ribosomal RNA", at positions 31 to 731 of the family's 1533-position model. Lineage: Bacteria; Bacillati; Bacillota; Bacilli. The record is from RNAcentral.